Molecule: long non-coding RNA, 1111 nt
Organism: Schistocerca gregaria
Lineage: Eukaryota; Metazoa; Arthropoda; Insecta; Orthoptera; Acrididae
Exons: 4
Source: RefSeq, a predicted model, not a curated record
AACAUUCUAGAUCACAACAGAAACAUUAUGUGCAUUCGCUAUGUGGACAACGUAAACGUCUGUCAAGCCGUCGGAGCAUCUCUUAUAAACAAAACAAGUCCCUUAACACACAGUUAAUAACGGAAGUAGACUGGAAGAAGCAAAAAUCAUGACAGGUCGCAAGAAAAUGUGUUGUAGUUACAAAUUUACCUCGCUAGCAUCAUGUAAGGCACUCACAAAUCUGUGCUACUUCUGCGUCAGAACUUAUCCCGUAGCAGCUGACUGGAAUGAGUUGCACAUGCCCGUGAGUCGUCAAAAAACAAACAAUAAAAGAGGCUCUCCCUCUGAUGUCCUCCAACCCUACAGCCGCUGCACUGCUUACACCGCCCCCCUGCCCUGAGAUUGGCUCAGUCAACUCCCAACCAGAUUGUCACCAUCCAGCCUCACCUAGAAGUUGGGGUGCUCUACAAGUCAGUCUGUCACACCAACCAAGAUUUUGUUGGAAGUGGGCUGCUGUCACACUCUAGUUGAUAUUUUUUAUUAAUGACUAAAUGGCCAUUGGAACCUUAUAACAUUCUAUGGGUUAGUUUUUAUUCAUUGCAGCUGGCAAUCUCUCGCAGCAGAAGUCCUAGAUCUCAGCCCCAGGUAAAAAAAAAAAAAAAAGAAAAGAAAACUAUAAAGUCUUUUUUUUAAAUAAUUAAUCCUGUUUUUUGUUUCCACUGAACAUUUAUUGUAGUCUAAAAUUAAUUUAAAGCAUCUUGACAAAUCUGAAAUGAGUUGUAACAUACUUACAGUAGUGAAAUAAAUCAACAUGCUACGUGCUUUCUCUCCGACAUCACGCAAACUACUGACCCACUUUGCUGUAACUAUUUAUACUUUCUUAACAAUUCCGAACAAUCCUCGGCAUUGUUUAGAAACAUAUUUUGAUUUAUUAGCAAUUAAAACUUUCAUACUAAAACAAAUGAUAUAUUUCAGUGAUUACCUUGACUCUUCUGUGUAUCAAACACACGAGUGAAUUCUAAUCUCUAUAUAAAUGUAAGUGUGUAUAAAUGUUUAGGUAUCAAUUGUUUAACAUACUUUUUAUAUUUACUAAUUAUAGAAGAUUCGUAUCAUAUAAAAUGUUCCUACCAAU